This 506-nucleotide ribosomal RNA is filed under the name uncultured bacterium. RNAcentral's name for it is "partial 16S ribosomal RNA". It matches the Rfam family "Bacterial small subunit ribosomal RNA", at positions 28 to 523 of the family's 1533-position model. The record is from RNAcentral.
GAUGAACGCUAGCUACAGGCUUAACACAUGCAAGUCGAGGGGUAACGAGAGGAAAGCUUGCUUUCCUUGUCGACGACCGGCGCACGGGUGAGUAACGCGUAUCCAACCUGCCCCCAACUAAGGAAUAACCUUGCGAAAGUAAGACUAAUACCUUAUAAUUUCCUCAGAUGUCAUCUGACGAGGAAUAAAGAUUUAUCGGUUGUGGAUGGGGAGGCGUCUGAUUAGCUUGUUGGCGGGGUAACGGCCCACCAAGGCAACGAUCAGUAGGGGUUCUGAGAGGAAGGUCCCCCACAUUGGAACUGAGACACGGACCAAACUCCUACGGGAGGCAGCAGUGAGGAAUAUUGGUCAAUGGGCGGAAGCCUGAACCAGCCAAGUAGCGUGCAGGAUGACGGCCCUAUGGGUUGUAAACUGCUUUUAUACAGGAAUAAAGUUAGCCACGUGUGGUUAUUUGUAGGUACUGUAUGAAUAAGGACCGGCUAAUUCCGUGCCAGCCGCCGCUGUAA